RNAcentral lists this transfer RNA (72 nucleotides) under bacterium. RNAcentral describes it as "tRNA-Thr". It matches the Rfam family "tRNA". From Rfam's summary of the family: Transfer RNA (tRNA) molecules are approximately 80 nucleotides in length. Their secondary structure includes four short double-helical elements and three loops (D, anti-codon, and T loops). RNAcentral also lists the same sequence under 2 other names. The record is from RNAcentral.
GCCGAUGUAGCUCAAAGGUAGAGCAACUGACUUGUAAUCAGUAGGUUGCGAGUUCGAUUCUCGCCAUCGGCU